UACGUAGGGGGCUAGCGUUGUCCGGAAUCAUUGGGCGUAAAGCGCACGUAGGCGGACCGCUAAGUCGGAUGUGAAAGCCCUCGGCUUAACCGAGGAAGUGCAUUCGAAACUGACAGUCUUGAGUAUGGAAGAGGGUCGCGGAAUUCCCGGUGUAGAGGUGAAAUUCGUAGAUAUCGGGAGGAACACCAGUGGCGAAGGCGGCGACCUGGGCCAAUACUGACGCUGAGGUGCGAAAGCGUGGGGAGCAAACAGG
This 253-nucleotide ribosomal RNA is filed under the name uncultured bacterium. Its description in RNAcentral is "partial 16S ribosomal RNA". It matches the Rfam family "Bacterial small subunit ribosomal RNA", at positions 524 to 776 of the family's 1533-position model. The record is from RNAcentral.